Molecule: ribosomal RNA, 534 nt
Filed under: Kluyveromyces wickerhamii
Lineage: Eukaryota; Fungi; Ascomycota; Saccharomycetes; Saccharomycetales; Saccharomycetaceae
Description: partial small subunit ribosomal RNA
Rfam family: Bacterial small subunit ribosomal RNA (bases 236-513)
Source: RNAcentral
UUAUUAGGAUGAUAUAUUAAUAUAUUAAUAUUUUUAAUUUUAUAAUAAUAAUAAUAAUAAUAUUAUUGAUCAACAAUAAAAUCCAUAAAUAAUUUAAAUAAUGAUAUAAAUUACUUAUGUAAAUACAUAAGAUUAUAUAUAUAUAUUAAUUUAUAUAUAUAUAUUUUUAAUAGUCCUAACAAAAAUUUGUGCCAGCAGUUGCGGUAAAACAAUGUGGGCUAGCGUUAAUCAUAAUGGCUUAAAGAGUUCGUAGAAUUAUAUAUAUAUUAAAUAUAUAUUAGAGUUAAUAAACAUUAAUUAAAGAAUUAUAAUAGUAAAGAUGAAAUAAUAAUAAUAAUUAUAAGACUGGUAUAUGUGAAAAUAUUAAUUAAUAAUUAACUGACAUUGAGGAACGAAGGCUAGAGUAGCAAUACGGAUUCGAUACCCGAGUAGUUCUAGCAGUAAACUAUGAACACCAUAUAUUAUUAAUAUAAUAUAAUAAUAAUAUAAAAAUGAAAAUGUAAGUGUUCCGCCUGAAGAGUACGUUCGCAAGAA